Molecule: long non-coding RNA, 220 nt
Filed under: Nicotiana benthamiana
Lineage: Eukaryota; Viridiplantae; Streptophyta; Magnoliopsida; Solanales; Solanaceae
Description: long non-coding RNA (NBEN_LNC001036)
Source: RNAcentral
CUGCCGCCGCUCCCACUAGCGAUCCUUCACCGGACGCACCGCCGGCACCAACGCCCGAGCCACCAGCACCUCUUACGGCACCGCUAGCGGCCCCCGCCGUCGCUACACCCACUAUGCCGCCAUCUUCAUCCUCUCAGGGUGGUCAUCACAUGCAAACGCGCAGCAAAAAUAACAUAUUUACGCCCAACAAGAAGUUUGGUAUGUCUGCUGUAACCUCUCC